This 2110-nucleotide long non-coding RNA is filed under the name Vigna radiata. RNAcentral's name for it is "long non-coding RNA (VRAD_LNC003682)". Lineage: Eukaryota; Viridiplantae; Streptophyta; Magnoliopsida; Fabales; Fabaceae. The record is from RNAcentral.
CAGGAUCAGAGGUUGUAGAUGUAGGAUGAAACACUCAAAUCGUAGUUAAUUUUUUUAUUUUUUUUUAAAAGUUCCUGAGAGUUCAUAAGAAAACCGCCCCGAAAUAUAUAUUUUUUUAAUUUUUAUAAUAAUUUUCCCUUACCUGCUCCCGCGCCUUCAUUCCUUCAGCAUAAUCUAAAUUUCUCCCCAAACCCUAAUUCUUCCUUCCCGCUGCCUUCAAUCUCCCAAACCUCCUUUCAUUCCUUGAGCAUAAUCUAAACUUCAAACAAUUUCUUCAAGAUUUGUGGUUCCCUGCAUCCGUUUGGUUCCCCGUAUCACAAUCUUCAAACAAUUUUCAUGUUGGUUCCUCGCAUCUGUAUGUCUUCGUGUUGGUUCCUUGUUUGGAAACUAGGCGUUCGUCGAGGUAUUUUAUUGUAGAAAGAGCACAACACUCUUAACAAGGUUCCGAUCAAUUUCGUGUGUUUUAUGUUUUUGUUUGGUUUGUUUUUUUCUCUCUCUAACUUGAGUGCAUGUGUUGUGGUGAAAGAAAUAGAGGUGGAGUGUGAGUUUUUGAAGAGGUGCUGCGAGAAUCUGACGGAGGAGAACAUUGCAGAAGGAAGUGCAAAGGAAGUCCCUGUUGCAUAGGUGGAGUGUGAGUUUUUUUCCUUACUUUUAUUUGUAGCUGGUAUUGUGUUGGCAUGUUAUCUCUCUCCCUAUCAGUCAAUUUGGUUGUGAUGCCUUAACCAUUGCAUGAUAUUAGUCCAAGUUUAUAACAAAUAAUGGUAUAUCACAUGUAGUAAUUGUCGAAGACUUAAAAUACUAAUUAAUGGAAAAAUAAAACGCAUAGCAGGAUUUUAUGGUUAGGCUAAUAAAUUGUAUCCAACUUUUGAGAGUAGCAUAAUUACUCAUGUUAUCUUGUUGAGUUUGGAAUCGUGAAUGUGACAUUUGAUAAAAAUGAUUAACAUUUGCAAAUAACGAAUUUAACCUUAAUAAAAUUGCCCUAGCUGACCAAUUUCAAUCUUCACAACAGUAGAGUGCUGAAAAGACCAGGUUUCCAACUACAACUACACUAUUUAUUAUGCAGUUUAACUAAUAUCAUUACACAGGUUUAACUUUUUUCUAACAUGGAUGAUUUAUUAUACAGUAUAUUUUCUGAUAUUGUUUGUACAAUUUUUAACUUUAAUUUUUAUGAAGUUAAUGAAUUUAUAAUACUUAAGCAUGAGAGUGUGUAUGAUAACGGAUUAAAAUACCGUUAUUUGCUAUGUGAUUUUGAUACUAAAAACAUCCUUUUUCACUUAGAAACUUGUUUGGACUCAUAUAUUUUCAGUAAAUUGUGUGAAUAAGAGAGUUGAGGUUGAUUUUAACUGUUUUCUAACAAAUUCCUCUUGUUUUGACAGAGAUUGAAGCAAUAUUGGAAGAAAAAGUGAAAAGCCAUGAAGGAGGAGCUCAAAAGGGGUAAAAAAAAGGCACCAAAAAGGAAGGAAACCCGAAGCCCAGGCGACAUGAAUGAAAAACAGCGAAGCUAAAUUCACCGCUGGUCGCCCGGGCGACGGACCUGACGCCCGGGCGACAGACGCCUGAAGCUCGGGCGUCCAAAACUGGCACCCAAGCCUCACAAAAGCCUUGAUUCACGCUUGGGCGAGCUCCCUGCGAUGCUUGAGCGUGAUUUAACGUGGAUCAGACCCUGAUUCUGCUCUGGUUUGAUUCGUUUGGACCGCGCCGCACUUUGGGACGCGUCUGGCACUAUUUAAAGCACCCUGGGGCUCUAGGUUUUGCAUCCCUGGCAGAAGAGAGCAUAGUAAUACACUCCUAGCCAAUUCUUAGUCUUCCAUUCUUCUUUCUUUUCUUUCAUUGUUCAUAGGUUCCCCCAUGUCUAUGGGGAACUAAUUUCUAUUUGUUGUUGGGGAAUGAUGUAACCUUGUAAACUCUCAUGUAUUUGAAUUGAUUCUUAAUUCUAUAUGCUUUAUUUCAUUAUUUGUUAGAGUAAUUCAUCUACUUUAUUCUUGCUUAUAUAAUAGCAUUAUCUGUGAGUUGCAUGAGUGCCGGGAGGUUCCUUUCAAUUCAGGUCCUUGUUGAAUUACUCCUAAGGGUUAUAUUGCUCAGGGAUGAGGGUAUGAGUCUUAGUCGUCUU